AAAAUGCGAUAUCUAGUGUGAAUUGCAGAUUUACGUGAAUCAUCGAGUCUCUGAACGCAAAUUGCGCUCCACGGCUAUUCCGUGGAGCAUACCUGUUUGAGUCUCACCCUUUUUUUCUUUCUCUAAGAAAAAUGCGCUUUUUUUACUGUUUCUUGCAGUUAGCGUUAAACACAUAACAAAACAGGGAUUCCUAGAGGAAAGACCCACAGUGUGUUCAUACCACCUGUGUGCCUCAACCUCAAAAUCCCUUCCCACAAAAAAAAGAGCUCAAAUCAGGCAGGACUACCCGCUGAACUUAA
RNAcentral lists this unclassified non-coding RNA (299 nucleotides) under uncultured Ascomycota. RNAcentral describes it as "sequence contains ITS1". The stretch from base 1 to 106 matches the Rfam family "5.8S ribosomal RNA", at positions 50 to 154 of the family's 154-position model. Lineage: Eukaryota; Fungi; Ascomycota. The record is from RNAcentral.